This 839-nucleotide ribosomal RNA is filed under the name uncultured bacterium. Its description in RNAcentral is "bacterial SSU rRNA". It matches the Rfam family "Bacterial small subunit ribosomal RNA", at positions 53 to 874 of the family's 1533-position model. The record is from RNAcentral.
ACNUGNNNUCGAGCGAACAGAGAAGGAGCUUGCUCCUUCGACGUUAGCGGCGGACGGGUGAGUAACACGUGGGCAACCUACCUUAUAGUUUGGGAUAACUCCGGGAAACCGGGGCUAAUACCGAAUAAUCUGUUUCACCUCAUGGUGAAACACUGAAAGACGGUUUCGGCUGUCGCUAUAGGAUGGGCCCGCGGCGCAUUAGCUAGUUGGUGAGGUAACGGCUCACCAAGGCGACGAUGCGUAGCCGACCUGAGAGGGUGAUCGGCCACACUGGGACUGAGACACGGCCCAGACUCCUACGGGAGGCAGCAGUAGGGAAUCUUCCACAAUGGGCGAAAGCCUGAUGGAGCAACGCCGCGUGAGUGAAGAAGGAUUUCGGUUCGUAAAACUCUGUUGUAAGGGAAGAACAAGUACAGUAGUAACUGGCUGUACCUUGACGGUACCUUAUUAGAAAGCCACGGCUAACUACGUGCCAGCAGCCGCGGUAAUACGUAGGUGGCAAGCGUUGUCCGGAAUUAUUGGGCGUAAAGCGCGCGCAGGUGGUUUCUUAAGUCUGAUGUGAAAGCCCACGGCUCAACCGUGGAGGGUCAUUGGAAACUGGGAGACUUGAGUGCAGAAGAGGAUAGUGGAAUUCCAAGUGUAGCGGUGAAAUGCGUAGAGAUUUGGAGGAACACCAGUGGCGAANGCGACUAUCUGGUCUGUAACUGACACUGANGCGCGAAAGCGUGGGGAGCAAACAGGANUAGAUACCCUGGUAGUCCACGCCGUAAACGAUGANUGCUAAGUGNUNNGGGUUUCCGCCCCUUANUGCUGCAGCUAACGCAUUAAGCACUCCGCCU